GAAUGGGGAGAGAAUAAGAGCAUAUGGAGUCAGAUGACUGAGAAAAUGACGAGCUCAAUCUCGCGCACUCUUGUGAGAGUUAGGUGUAUUCCUUUUCAUUUCUGAAGACAAAGGAAUCGUCCGGUUGGAAUAUUAUGGAAGACUUAUGAUAAAAACAUCCUAAAGAUUGAUUCUAUACAUCGUUUGACAUGUUCCUACGAACGUAAAAAACUUUUUUGACUUUUCGUCUGAACUUACUGCGCGAGCACAGUGCAUUUGGAUUACUCUACUGAACGCGCAAACAGAAUUGAGCCAUUAAAUUAAGAGUGCUUGGAAGAUACCCAUCAAGGACGAGACUGGCAAGGCCACCUCCAAGGUGAUGGUGGACAUCUUCAACACCCACGGUUCUCCUGAGGUCAUCUUGAGUGACCAAGGUCAUGAACAAUGGAACUAGGUGUGGUGAAUGGACCAACCAGACCCUCAAGACUGCCAUGGGAAAGUCUCAUGACGGCUACCAGGAAGGGUGGGAGAAUAACCUGAAGAUCACUGAAACCUCACCUGAUGUGGUGGAAGAUGUCGAAUCAGAUCAGAACGCCUUCGAGGACCACCUUCAGGCACGGACUGAGAAUGAUGGAGGUUUUUGACCAGACUGAACAUCGACAAGGCGGAGGAGGAGAGCUAUUGGAGCAGAAUCAAGUACUACGACAUCCGGGGCAAAUUACUUGGUUUGGAAGAAGAACGAAAGGAAGGCGAGACCUGGGAAACCUCGCUCCUCUUUCGCUCCUAGCUGAGGUCACCAUCUGUUAAAGGUUACCUCGAUGGAAGCCAACAAUCUUCUCCAGCUGGAGCAGUUGGACGGUUGACCACUGAAAGCACUGACGCCCUACACUUCAAUGAAGCCCAAUAGACAAAGACCAUCAACUGUCCGAGCCACCCAGGAGGUAUCCUAUCCACCAGAACCAAUGAGUUCGGAUCAGUCCAAUUCUCUGUCUUCUGAGUUGAAGGGGGACCAGCUUGAGUUUCAGAGGGAGACUGCGAAGAUUAGGACUGGAGACCUCCUGACAGAAUCACUCACCCGAAAGAAUGGAAUCAGCAGGAGCAGACGCCCUCCCUUCAGAGAUAGAGGAGCUGGGGUAUCAGCUGGGGUAUCAGCCGGUUCUGGCACUGUGGCAUCAGAGCCAGAUUGAAGCUCCUGCGGUGGACGAAUGGUUGAAGCGCUCGGAGGAGACCUGGGACGCCGCCCAUGUGCACCUGCAACGAGCCGUGAGGCGGCAGAAGGCGAGCGCUGACCGCCACCGCAGUGAGGCCCCGGUGUGCCGGGUCUGGCUCUCGACCCAAAACCUGCCUCUCCGCCUGCCCUGUCGGAAGCUGGGUCCGCGGUUUGUGGGGCCAUUUAAAGUCCUGAGGAGACUGAACGAGGUAAGCUACAGGUUACAGCUUCCCCCAGAUUAUCGCAUUAAUCCCUCGUUCCAUGUGUCUCUCCUCAG
This 1466-nucleotide long non-coding RNA is filed under the name Salmo salar (Atlantic salmon). Its description in RNAcentral is "lncRNA (ENSSSAG00000116477.1)". Lineage: Eukaryota; Metazoa; Chordata; Actinopteri; Salmoniformes; Salmonidae. The record is from RNAcentral.